Molecule: ribosomal RNA, 252 nt
Filed under: uncultured bacterium
Lineage: Bacteria
Description: partial 16S ribosomal RNA
Rfam family: Bacterial small subunit ribosomal RNA
Source: RNAcentral
UACGUAGGUGGCGAGCGUUGUCCGGAUUUAUUGGGCGUAAAGCGAGCGCAGGUGGUUUAUUAAGUCUGGUGUAAAAGGCAGUGGCUCAACCAUUGUAUGCAUUGGAAACUGGUAGACUUGAGUGCAGGAGAGGAGAGUGGAAUUCCAUGUGUAGCGGUGAAAUGCGUAGAUGUAUGGAGGAACACCGGUGGCGAAAGCGGCUCUCUGGCCUGUAACUGACACUGAGGCUCGAAAGCGUGGGGAGCAAACAGG